Non-coding RNA from Callithrix jacchus (white-tufted-ear marmoset), 1062 nucleotides. NCBI's taxonomy places the organism in Eukaryota, Metazoa, Chordata, Mammalia, Primates, Cebidae. The record is from RefSeq and is a predicted model, not a curated record.
CAUGGGCUGGCACCCACAUUCCAGAGUGGCCUGGCUUCAACUUUCACACAUCUACCAUUAUGCUGGACCCUCCUCUGACUCCUCCUGCAUCUUCAGGUCUCUCGUGGAUUUUCCUGGUCAUGGACCGUCUCCUAGGCAGCUUUAAGAGCCAGAUCUCCUUUCAAGAAAGAACUCUCUGCCCAGCUGUGAGCAGCUCAGAAGCCCACAGAUCUAGCUGCGGCCACUUCCUGAGUCACCUUGGCUUCUGGCCAAAGCCAGGGUCUUUCCUGGCUGAUGACUGCGCAUGUCUAAGAUAGGGUCUCACUCUGUUGCCCAGGCUGGAGCAGUGGAGCGAUCAUAGCUCGGGGCAGCUCUGAACAUCAGGCUUCUAGCAAUCUGCCUGCCUCAGCCUCCAGAAGAGCUGGGACUACAGGUGUGUGCCACCAAACCUGGCUACUGUUAUUCUUUGCAUUGUGCCAGUCACUCCCAGCCCCCAGCCUAUUUUGUCACUUCCAACCUCCAUUCCAAAAAGAAUUUUUUUUCACUCCUUGUUUCAGGGAAAAGUUGAGAUAACAGAAAACAAAGGAAAAUAGAAUCUCCCUCCAGCUUUUGAAAUUCAAAAUCCUAUGCCCUUUAAUGAGGAUCUCAGGUCCCAGAAAAUAAGUUUGGCAUUUAUUAUGAAUAAGUAUAGGCUUCAACCCUUGAGCCAGAAAAGGAUAUCCAGGCUGGAAGGGAGGGGUAAGGAUAGGGAGAAUUUCAGAGGGAAAACAGAUAAAGGAACAAGGGGAAAGAAUCUGACCUAAAGAGGUGGACAGACAAGAGGCUGGAUCAAACUCCACCUGAAGGUGCAUUUUUUAGGAAGCAGGUAGGAUCUGAGCAGCAUUAGAUUUCCCAGCUUCUACUCCAGAAAGUUGGGGAUUACACUGGCUAUCUUUCCCGGUGGCAUCUGGCCAGGGUCUCUUGUCCAUCACAAUGAGCAUGCUACUUAUUGCACAUUCACCCCACAGAGGCCCUGAGAUUUGCCAGCUCCCAGUGUGACUUUCCAUCAGAACAACCUCCCCCCUUCCAUCAUUGCAGGACACG